GGGCUGCAGGCGCGAAACCUCUACAAUGCACGAAAGUGUGAUAGGGGAAUCCCGAGUGCGUGCACACAGUGUACGCUUUUGCCAAAUGUAAAUAGUUUGGCGAAUAAGUGGUGGGAAAGACUGGUGCCAGCAGCCGCGGUAACACCAGCGCCACAAGUGGCAACCGUUUAUUUGGCCUAAAGCGUCCGUAGCUGGCCUGUCAAAUCCUUUGUGAAAUUGUUGCGCUCAACGUAACAGCGAGCAGGGGACACUUACAGGCUCGAGACCGGGAGGAGUCAGAAGUAUAUUUGGGGGAGCGGUAAAAUGCUAUAAUCCCAGAUGGACUGCCUGUGGCGAAGGCGUCUGACUAGAACGGUUCUGACAGUGAGGGACGAAAGCUAGGGGAGCAAACCGGAUUAGAUACCCCGGUAGUC
This 413-nucleotide ribosomal RNA is filed under the name uncultured microorganism. RNAcentral's name for it is "bacterial SSU rRNA". It matches the Rfam family "Archaeal small subunit ribosomal RNA", at positions 330 to 746 of the family's 1478-position model. The record is from RNAcentral.